GGGCCUCCUGACGACCGGACCCCGUCACCACCUAGAGAGAGACACCUUUAUUAGGACAAGAGGUUAACUAACCAUAACCAUAAUCCUAACCCUUCAACUAACCAUAACCCUUCACAUUACAGGUAAACUAACCCUUCACACAACAGGUUGACUAACCCUAACCCUUCACACAACAGGUUAACUAACCCUAACCCUUCACAUAACAGGUUAACUAACCCUUCACACAACAGGUAAACUAACCCUAACCCUUCACACAACAGGUUAACUAACCCUAACCCUUCACAUAACAGGUUAACUAACCCUAACCCUUCACAUAACAGGUUAACUAACCCUAACCCUUCACACAACAGGUUAACUAACCCUAACCCUUCACAUAACAGGUUAACUAACCCUUCACAUAACAGGUUAACUAACCCUAACCCUUCACACAACAGGUUAACUAACCCUAACCCUUCACACAACAGGUUAACUAACCCUAACCCUUCACAUAACAGGUUAACUAACCCUAACCCUUCACACAACAGGUUAACUAACCCUAACCCUUCACAUAACAGGUUAACUAACCCUUCACAUAACAGGUUAACUAACCCUAACCCUUCACACAACAGGUAAACUAACCCUAACCCUUCACACAACAGGUUAACUAACCCUAACCCUUCACAUAACAGGUUAACUAACCCUUCACAUAACAGGUUAACUAACCCUAACCCUUCACACAACAGGUUAACUAACCCUAACCCUUCACAUAACAGGUUAACUAACCCUAACCCUUCACAUAACAGGUUAACUAACCCUAACCCUUCACAUAACAGGUUAACUAACCCUUCACAUAACAGGUUAACUAACCCUAACCCUUCACAUAACAGGUUAACUAACCCUAACCCUUCACACAACAGGUUAACUAACCCUAACCCUUCACAUAACAGGUUAACUAACCCUAACCCUUCACAUAACAGGUUAACUAACCCUAACCCUUCACAUAACAGGUUAACUAACCCUAACCCUUCACAUAACAGGUUAACUAACCCUAACCCUUCACAUAACAGGUUAACUAACCCUAACCCUUCACAUAACAGGUUAACUAACCCUAACCCUUCACACAACAGGUUAACUAACCCUAACCCUUCACAUAACAGGUUAACUAACCCUUCACAUAACAGGUUAACUAACCCUAACCCUUCACACAACAGGUUAACUAACCCUAACCCUUCACAUAACAGGUUAACUAACCCUAACCCUUCACACAACAGGUUAACUAACCCUAACCCUUCACA
This is a long non-coding RNA of Oncorhynchus keta (chum salmon), 1274 nucleotides long. RefSeq lists it as uncharacterized. Lineage: Eukaryota; Metazoa; Chordata; Actinopteri; Salmoniformes; Salmonidae. The record is from RefSeq and is a predicted model, not a curated record. The transcript is spliced from 6 exons.